Molecule: ribosomal RNA, 253 nt
Filed under: uncultured bacterium
Lineage: Bacteria
Description: partial 16S ribosomal RNA
Rfam family: Bacterial small subunit ribosomal RNA
Source: RNAcentral
UACAGAGGUCUCAAGCGUUGUUCGGAUUCACUGGGCGUAAAGGGUGCGUAGGCGGGUCUUUAAGUCAGGGGUGAAAUCCUGGAGCUCAACUCCAGAACUGCCUUUGAUACUGAGGAUCUUGAGUUCGGGAGAGGUGAGUGGAACUGCGAGUGUAGAGGUGAAAUUCGUAGAUAUUCGCAAGAACACCAGUGGCGAAGGCGGCUUACUGGUCCGGUUCUGACGCUGAGGCGCGAAAGCGUGGGGAGCAAACAGG